UUGGAGGGCAAGUCUGGUGCCAGCAGCCGCGGUAAUUCCAGCUCCAAUAGCGUAUAUUAAAGUUGUUGCAGUUAAAAAGCUCGUAGUUGAAUUUCGGGUUCAUCCGUUGGUCGGGCUUUUUUGGUCUGUACUGGCGUGAUGGAUUCCUACCUUCUGAAUAACCAGCAUGUCAUUAAUUUGGUGCGCUGGGGAAGCAGGACUGUUACCUUGAAAAAAUUAGAGUGCUUAAAGCAGGCUAUCGCCUGAAUACAUUAGCAUGGAAUAAUGAAAUAGGACGGCAUGGUUCUAUUUUGUUGGUUUCUAGGACCACCGUAAUGAUUAAUAGGGAUAGUUGGGGGCAUUAGUAUUCAAUUGUCAGAGGUGAAAUUCUUGGAUUUAUUGAAGACUAACUUCUGCGAAAGCAUUUGCCAAGGAUGUUUUCAUUAAUCAAGAACGAAAGUUAGGGGAUCGAAGACGAUCAGAUACCGUCGUAGUCUUAACCAUAAACUAUGCCGACUAGGGAUCGGACGAUGUUAAUUUUUUAAUGACUCGUUCGGCGCCUUACGGGAAAC
This 551-nucleotide ribosomal RNA is filed under the name uncultured Glomeromycotina. RNAcentral's name for it is "SSU rRNA". It matches the Rfam family "Eukaryotic small subunit ribosomal RNA", at positions 548 to 1098 of the family's 1831-position model. Lineage: Eukaryota; Fungi; Glomeromycota. The record is from RNAcentral.